RNAcentral lists this ribosomal RNA (504 nucleotides) under Eimeria subspherica. Its description in RNAcentral is "SSU rRNA". It matches the Rfam family "Eukaryotic small subunit ribosomal RNA", at positions 581 to 1090 of the family's 1831-position model. Lineage: Eukaryota; Apicomplexa; Conoidasida; Eucoccidiorida; Eimeriidae. The record is from RNAcentral.
AAUUCCAGCUCCAAUAGUGUAUAUUAGAGUUGUUGCAGUUAAAAAGCUCGUAGUUGGAUUUCUGCUGUGGUCAUCCGGUACCGCCCGUACGGGUGCGCACCUGGUUUGGCUGCGGCUUUCUUCCUGUAGCCGUCCGCGCUUAAUUGCGUGUGUUGUGUUGCGGAACUUUUACUUUGAGAAAAAUAGAGUGUUUCAAGCAGGCUUGUCGCCCUGAAUACUUCAGCAUGGAAUAAUAGGAUAGGACCUUGGUUCUAUUUUGUUGGUUUCUAGGACCAAGGUAAUGAUUAAUAGGGACAGUUGGGGGCAUUCGUAUUUAACUGUCAGAGGUGAAAUUCUUAGAUUUGUUAAAGACGAACUACUGCGAAAGCAUUUGCCAAGGAUGUUUUCAUUAAUCAAGAACGACAGUAGGGGGUUUGAAGACGAUUAGAUACCGUCGUAAUCUCUACCAUAAACUAUGCCGACUAGAGAUAGGGAAACGCCUACCUUGGCUUCUCCUGUCUCCUG